ACUAAUACAAAGCAGAAAUUUCAAAGCCAAAACGAAAGAGAUCGAAACCAUAAACUAAGAAUAGAGGCAAACAAACUUAAACCCGAAGAGAAACCACAAGGCCCAAGCACAAAACAUGACCUUUUCUUUUGAGACACCUGCGAAUGAGAUUUACCAAUGCUGCCCACGGCCAACCCAUUUAUAACAACUGCCUCCUCCUAUCAUGAUGAGAGAUGAGCUCUCGAAACCAAGACUUCAUAACCCGGCAAGAAAAGGCCAAAACUGAACCUCGUAAGAUACUUCCGAAUGCGGCGAAGACGAAGCGUCAUGGAGCGCCUAGAUAAAAGUCUUAAAGAAGCAAUCCAAACACACCCGAUUCGGAAAUGCAAAGACAAGGAGAAAAACCUAACCAUCUCGAGGAACAAGGAUCAUGAAAUUAAGCACGACACUCAGACCGAAAUGGUAAUCAUCCACAACGUCCUCCACCAAAGAGAAGACAAUUUUGAAAACCUAGAACGAUGCACAAUCCUUCACACAAAAAACCUCCACAAAGAACAGAGACGAUCCAAACGAGAGACUGCUAGCUAAAACAACACAAGGAAGUGACAACGGAAAGACAAAGGCAUGAAGAAGACUGACGAGAGACCUCACAUCAGCUAAGCCGGCGGCAUCAAAACAACAAAAAGCACAAGAGCGAGAACAAGGUCUGGGUUGGGAAGAGCAAGAAACAAUGGCACUAUUACAGACAAAGCUCACCGUCGAUCAAACAGAUCCGACACCAUCCUCAUCGCAGGAACCACAAACCACACAGAUCUGAAAUGCUAGACCGCUUCCACAAAGAACACAACCUCACAGAUCGAAAUAACCCGCAAGAAAACCCAAACGAAGGCCACAAAAAAUCCAAAUCUGAAAACACCACCGAGAGAAGAUCUACAAAGGAAGAAAAGAGAAACGAAAAUUAAACUAAAGAGGCACAACGCCGGGGCAAAAAGCCACUGGACGUUGGCCGUACUCAAGAAGCGGCGGAGUCUUAAACUAUGGCUAAGAGAGAGAAGGGAGAGAAUUAGGU
This 1048-nucleotide long non-coding RNA is filed under the name Arabidopsis lyrata. RNAcentral describes it as "long non-coding RNA (ALYR_LNC003345)". The record is from RNAcentral. Lineage: Eukaryota; Viridiplantae; Streptophyta; Magnoliopsida; Brassicales; Brassicaceae.